This 253-nucleotide unclassified non-coding RNA is filed under the name uncultured Kordiimonadaceae bacterium. RNAcentral describes it as "contains 16S-23S intergenic spacer region". It matches the Rfam family "Bacterial small subunit ribosomal RNA", at positions 524 to 776 of the family's 1533-position model. The record is from RNAcentral. Lineage: Bacteria; Pseudomonadati; Pseudomonadota; Alphaproteobacteria; Kordiimonadales; Kordiimonadaceae.
UACGGAGGGAGCUAGCGUUGUUCGGAAUUACUGGGCGUAAAGCGCGCGUAGGCGGCUUGGCAAGUUGGGGGUGAAAUCCCGGGGCUUAACCUCGGAACUGCCUCCAAAACUGCCAAGCUAGAAUCCUGGAGAGGUGAGUGGAAUUCCUAGUGUAGAGGUGAAAUUCGUAGAUAUUAGGAAGAACACCAGUGGCGAAGGCGACUCACUGGACAGGUAUUGACGCUGAGGUGCGAAAGCGUGGGGAGCGAACAGG